GAUGAACGCUGGCGGCGUGCUUAACACAUGCAAGUCGAACGGUGAACACGGAGCUUGCUCUGUGGGAUCAGUGGCGAACGGGUGAGUAACACGUGAGCAACCUGCCCCUGACUCUGGGAUAAGCGCUGGAAACGGCGUCUAAUACUGGAUACGAGUAGCGGCCGCAUGGUCAGUUACUGGAAAGAAUUUCGGUUGGGGAUGGGCUCGCGGCCUAUCAGCUUGUUGGUGAGGUAAUGGCUCACCAAGGCGUCGACGGGUAGCCGGCCGGAGAAGGUGACCGGCCACACUGGGACUGAGACACUGCACAGACUCCUACGGGAGGCAGCAGUGGGGAAUAUUGCACAAUGGGCGCAAGCCUGAUGCAGCAACGCCGCGUGAGGGAUGACGGCCUUCGGGUUGUAAACCUCUUUUAGCAGGGAAGAAGCGAAUGUGACGGUACCUGCAGAAAAAGCGCCGGCUAACUACGUGCCAGCCGCCGCCGUAA
Molecule: ribosomal RNA, 484 nt
Filed under: uncultured bacterium
Lineage: Bacteria
Description: partial 16S ribosomal RNA
Rfam family: Bacterial small subunit ribosomal RNA
Source: RNAcentral